This is a non-coding RNA of Pelobates cultripes (western spadefoot toad), 106 nucleotides long. The record is from the annotation of a GenBank genome assembly. Lineage: Eukaryota; Metazoa; Chordata; Amphibia; Anura; Pelobatidae.
GCUUUAUUGGGGCAAAAGCAUCAACGUUUUGACCCUGCUAGGUCUUGAUCAAGCUUGAUAAAGACCUGACAGGUUUGAAACAUUGAUGCUUUUGCCCCAAUAAAGC